AUCCGCCAAGAACAUGAGCUCAGGAUUUUAGGAACGGCACCGGAAGUGGAGCAGUUGUCAGAGGGUGAUUGAGAAACACGGGAGUCGGAAUGUGGGCGGCUCUAGAAAGGUGCUUUUAGUUCAAUGUGACAAAUCGACCUGCAAGUUUCUAGUCAGUUGUGAGAAAGUCAAGGUGCCGAGAAGAGUUUCACGUGAUUUGAUUGACUACUGAAAGAAACAGAGUAUACCGGACGAGAGAAAUUCAUUAUCAAUGAACCUGUAUAGGAAUUUUGGGAAUCUUCUGGAGAGUUGGGUGACUGAAGGCCACCAGGAUUUAUACUUACAGCCUGGACCUGGUGUGGACAGAUUAGAUUCCAUUUAUAGGGACUCUGUCCCACUAUCUAAUAUAAAAUCAGAAUCUGAGGACUCCGGAUUUGAAACGUGUUGAUCUCAGCUCUGUGGCUCUAAAAACAACACAUCUGGAGGUGGAGCAAGUCUUGAGAAGGACCGAAUCAGGCUCAUGGAGAGGACCCCUGCACCAGGUUGAAAGGGGGACCGCUGGGCCACGGUAUCGCUCUAACACGGCCUCUUUUCCAACCAGCUUUCACUCAAACAGCUCCAGACCACAUCAUCGGUUUGCUCGUCCAAGGAGAACUCAUUCACAACCUCCAGAUUCCAAGAAAGCAGAACUGUACAGAAAAUACCUAAAGUCAGACCAACAUGGCCAACCAGCAGACAGCCAGCUGGAGCUUGCAGACAGUGAUCAUUACAGACUGGACAAGCUGUCUCCAGGGUUGCUGUACCUGGAGCAGGUGUGCAGGAUGCUGGAGAAUGUUGCAAAGCUACAGCAGCAAAACUACAGCCUGCAGAAAGAGGUGGAGAUCCUGAAGAGUCAGCAUGCAGAAAUAGAGCUUGGAAGCUUUCAUGUGGAGGAAAUAAGCUAUCCUGCCAGUCAAGGUUUACAGAUUCUGGGUCAUGAAGAUCCACCCAGCGAAUCGUCUCACCUAAAAGAACCCAUGGGUUUUCGUCACAGAUCAGUAUCUGACACCCAGGCAGCUGUCGGCCAUCACAGGAGAACAAGGUUUGUUCGAGACAAACCUAUUGUAGAUGUCUUAGUCGAGGAACCUGAUGGUAAAGAUCCUGUAAGUAAAUAG
Molecule: long non-coding RNA, 1133 nt
Organism: Cyprinus carpio (common carp)
Lineage: Eukaryota; Metazoa; Chordata; Actinopteri; Cypriniformes; Cyprinidae
Source: Ensembl